AGGUGGCACAAUCGUUCAGUGCAUCUGGCUGUUAACCAGAAGGUUGGUGGUUCAAGCCCACCCAGAGAUG
This is a non-coding RNA of Podarcis lilfordi (Lilford's wall lizard), 70 nucleotides long. NCBI's taxonomy places the organism in Eukaryota, Metazoa, Chordata, Lepidosauria, Squamata, Lacertidae. The record is from the annotation of a GenBank genome assembly.